AACGCACGAGACCUGCGGACCUGCGGAGGGAUCAUUACAGAGUUCUUGGCAACUCCCAACCCUGUGAACUUUAUCUCUUGUUGUUGCUUCUGGCAGGCAGCCCCCCCCGGGGUGGCCUGCCAGCGGCGGCCUGCUCCAACCUUCUUUUGUAUUCUAGUCGUCUGAGUGAAAAAAAAAAUCAAUCAAAACUUUCAACAAUGGAUCUCU
This 207-nucleotide unclassified non-coding RNA is filed under the name soil metagenome. Its description in RNAcentral is "partial contains 5.8S ribosomal RNA, internal transcribed spacer 2, and large subunit ribosomal RNA". The record is from RNAcentral.